GACUACUUCUAAGGUCUUUGGGGUAGAAUAGCAAAUUGAGAUUCCUGAAGUAUGUAAUCAAUGGUUAAGCCAGAAAUGCAAUUAGUGGGUAGGUGAAUGUGGUUAGGUGGUAAUGUCCGCCUUUACCUGCAAGUUGACAAAAUCCAUUUUGCGCUAGAAGAAUAUUCAUUUUCUUAAAAUGUUGCUUUCCAGUUUCCCCUAUGGUUCCUGUAUAUUUGAAAAUACAUGUAAGGGCCCAUUUGGCAUUAAGUUU
Molecule: unclassified non-coding RNA, 253 nt
Filed under: Hevea brasiliensis (rubber tree)
Lineage: Eukaryota; Viridiplantae; Streptophyta; Magnoliopsida; Malpighiales; Euphorbiaceae
Source: RNAcentral